This 513-nucleotide small RNA is filed under the name uncultured Glomus. RNAcentral's name for it is "SSU rRNA". It matches the Rfam family "Eukaryotic small subunit ribosomal RNA", at positions 569 to 1085 of the family's 1831-position model. Lineage: Eukaryota; Fungi; Glomeromycota; Glomeromycetes; Glomerales; Glomeraceae. The record is from RNAcentral.
AGCAGCCGCGGUAAUUCCAGCUCCAAUAGCGUAUAUUAAAGUUGCUGCAGUUAAAAAGCUCGUAGUUGAAUUUCGGGACCAAUAUGUCGGUCGUGCUUCGGUACGUACUGUCAUAAUUGGUUUCUCCCUUCUGAAGAACCUUGAUGUCAUUAAUUUGGUGUCUUGGGGAAUCAGGACUGUUACUUUGAAAAAUUAGAGUGUUUAAAGCAGGCUCGCGCUUGAAUACAUUAGCAUGGAAUAAUGAAAUAGGACGUUUGAUUCUAUUUUGUUGGUUUCUAGGAUCGACGUAAUGAUUAAUAGGGAUAGUUGGGGGCAUUAGUAUUCAAUUGUCAGAGGUGAAAUUCUUGGAUUUAUUGAAGACUAACUACUGCGAAAAGCAUUUGCCAAGGAUGUUUUCAUUAAUCAAGAACGAAAGUUAGGGGAUCGAAGACGAUCAGAUACCGUCGUAGUCUUAACCAUAAACUAUGCCGACUGGGGAUCGGAUGAUGUUAAUUUUUAAUGACUCAUUCGGCG